GUAUAAUGAUGAAAUCCAUGCGUGUCAACUGAAUCUGGAACACCCUGAGUUCUAGUUCCACCCGUCGGCGUUCUGUGGGCUGGUGUGUUCUGAAACUCCAGGGCUCCGGAACUCAUGAUCAGAGUUCACUAUGGCUGAAUAC
This is a small nucleolar RNA of Esox lucius (northern pike), 142 nucleotides long. Ensembl annotates it as small nucleolar RNA SNORD10. Lineage: Eukaryota; Metazoa; Chordata; Actinopteri; Esociformes; Esocidae. The record is from Ensembl.